Pelobates cultripes (western spadefoot toad) is the source of this 295-nucleotide non-coding RNA. NCBI's taxonomy places the organism in Eukaryota, Metazoa, Chordata, Amphibia, Anura, Pelobatidae. The record is from the annotation of a GenBank genome assembly.
GUAGAAAGAGGGAAGUGCUCAUGCCAUUGUACAGAACACUGGUGAGACCUCACUUGGAGUAUUGUACACAGUACUGGAGACCGUAUCUUCAGAAGGAUAUUGAUACCUUAGAGAGGGUUCAGAGAAGGGCUACUAAACUGGUUCAUGGAUUGCGGGAUAAAACUUACCAGGAAAGGUUAAAGGAUCUUAACAUGUAUAACUUGGAGGAAAGACAAGACAGGGGGGAUAUGAUAGAAACAUUUAAAUACAUAAAGGGAAUCAACACAGUAAAGGAGGAGACUAUAUUUAAAAGAAG